Molecule: ribosomal RNA, 163 nt
Filed under: uncultured bacterium
Lineage: Bacteria
Description: partial 16S ribosomal RNA
Rfam family: Bacterial small subunit ribosomal RNA
Source: RNAcentral
UGGGGAAUAUUGCACAAUGGGGGAAACCCUGAUGCAGCCAUGCCGCGUGUGUGAAGAAGGCCUUCGGGUUGUAAAGCACUUUCAGCGAGGAGGAAAGGUUGGCGCCUAAUACGUGUCAACUGUGACGUUACUCGCAGAAAAAAGCACCGGCUAACUCCGUGGC